UUGGAGGGCAAGUCUGGUGCCAGCAGCCGCGGUAAUUCCAGCUCCAAUAGCGUAUAUUAAAGUUGUUGCAGUUAAAAAGCUCGUAGUUGAAUUUCGGAAUCUGUCCGUCGGUCGGGCUUCACUGUCCGUACUGGUGUGAUGGGUUUCUACCUUCUGAAUAACCGGCAUGUCAUUAAUUUGGUGCGCCGGGGAAGCAGAACUAUUACCUUGAAAAAAUUAGAGUGCUUAAAGCAGGCUAUCGCCUGAAUAGAUUAGCAUGGAAUAAUAAAAUAGGACGGCAUGGUUCUAUUUUGUUGGUUUCUAGGAUCACCGUAAUGAUUAAUAGGGAUAGUUGGGGGCAUUAGUAUUCAAUUGUCAGAGGUGUAAUUCUUGGAUUUAUUGAAGACUAACUUCUGCGAAAGCAUUUGCCAAGGAUGUUUUCAUUAAUCAAGAACGAAAGUUAGGGGAUCGAAGACGAUCAGAUACCGUCGUAGUCUUAACCAUAAACUAUGCCGACUAGGGAUCGGACGAUGUUAAUUUUUUAAUGACUCGUUCGGCGCCUUACGGGAAAC
This 551-nucleotide ribosomal RNA is filed under the name uncultured Acaulospora. RNAcentral's name for it is "SSU rRNA". It matches the Rfam family "Eukaryotic small subunit ribosomal RNA", at positions 548 to 1098 of the family's 1831-position model. Lineage: Eukaryota; Fungi; Glomeromycota; Glomeromycetes; Diversisporales; Acaulosporaceae. The record is from RNAcentral.